This 490-nucleotide ribosomal RNA is filed under the name uncultured bacterium. RNAcentral describes it as "bacterial SSU rRNA". It matches the Rfam family "Bacterial small subunit ribosomal RNA", at positions 19 to 518 of the family's 1533-position model. The record is from RNAcentral.
AUGGCUCAGGAUGAACGCUGGCGGCGUGCUUAACACAUGCAAGUCGAACGAAGCAUUCCAACUCUCGGAGGAAGAAAUGACUGAGUGGCGGACGGGUGAGUAACGCGUGGGUAACCUGCCUUAUACAGGGGGAUAACAGUUAGAAAUGACUGCUAAUACCGCAUAACCCGCUAGUACCGCAUGGUACAGACGGAAAAGAUUUAUCGGUAUAAGAUGGACCCGCGUCUGAUUAGCUAGUUGGUGAGGUAAUGGCUCACCAAGGCGACGAUCAGUAGCCGGCUUGAGAGAGUGAACGGCCACAUUGGGACUGAGACACGGCCCAAACUCCUACGGGAGGCAGCAGUGGGGAAUAUUGCACAAUGGGGGAAACCCUGAAUGCAGCAACGCCGCGUGAAGGAAGAAGUAUUUCGGUAUGUAAACUUCUAUCAGCAGGAAAGAAAAUGACGGUACCCGACUAAGAAGCCCCGGCUAACUACGUGCCAGCAGCCGC